GAUGAACGCUGGCGGCGUGCCUAAUACAUGCAAGUCGAGCGAACGGACGAUAAUCUUGCUUCUCUGAUGUUAGCGGCGGACGUGUGAGUAACACGUGUAUCACCUCCCUAUCUUACUGAGAUCACUUCGGGAAACCGUAUCUUAUACCGUAUAAUCUUUUGAACCGCAUUGUUCAAAAGUGAAAUACGGUCUUUCUGUCACUUCUCGAUGGAUCCGCGCUGCAUUAGCUAGUUGUUAAGGUAACGGCUUACCAAGGCAACGAUGCAUAGACGAAGUGAGAGGGGGAUAGGCCACACUGGAACGGAGACACGGUCAAGACUACUAAGGGACGCAGCAGUAGGGAAUGGGACGCAAUGGGCGAAAGCAUGACGGAGCAACGCCGCGUGAGUGAUGAAGGUCUUCGGAGCGGAAAAAUGUGUUAUGAGGGAAGAACAGAUGUGGAAGGAAAUGUGGACAGCGUGACGGUAACGAAUAAGAAAGCAACGGCUAACUACGUG
RNAcentral lists this ribosomal RNA (497 nucleotides) under uncultured bacterium. RNAcentral describes it as "partial 16S ribosomal RNA". It matches the Rfam family "Bacterial small subunit ribosomal RNA", at positions 28 to 507 of the family's 1533-position model. The record is from RNAcentral.